GGUGAUGGUGGAUGUGUGGUGGGGGAUUGUGGAGAGGGAGAGGCCGGGGGAGUAUGAGUGGGGAGGGUAUGCGGAGCUGAUGGAAAUGGCGAAGAAGGUUGGGUUGAAGGUGCAGGCGGUGAUGUCUUUUCAUCAGUGUGGCGGUAACGUAGGCGACUCCGUUACGAUACCGCUGCCGAAAUGGGUGCUGGAGGAGAUGGAUCAGGACCCCGAUCUCGCCUACACCGACCAGUGGGGCCGCCGCAACUACGAGUACGUCUCGCUCGGCUGCGACACACUCCCCGUCCUCAAAGGUCGUACACCGGUACAAUGCUAUGCGGAUUUCAUGCGUUCGUUUCGUGACCGGUUCGAGCCCUUCCUCGGCUCCACCAUUGUGGAGAUCCAGGUGGGCAUGGGACCAGCGGGCGAAAUGCGGUACCCAUCGUACCCAGAGCUAGACGGCACCUGGAAAUUUCCGGGAAUUGGCGCCUUCCAAUGCUACGACAAGUACAUGCUGAGCAGCCUCGGUGCGGCCGCCGAGGCCGCCGGAAAGCCCGAGUGGGGCCAGGGUGGCCCCACCGACGCCGGCAGCUACAACAACUGGCCAGAGGACACCCCAUUCUUCCGCCGCGAGGGCGGCUGGAACAGCCCCUACGGCGACUUCUUCCUCUCCUGGUACUCGAACAUGCUCCUCGCCCACGGCGAGCGCAUCCUCUCCGCCACCACCGCCAUCUUCGACUGCAAUACCGUCAAGAUCUCCGUCAAAGUCGCCGGCAUUCACUGGCACUAUGGAACGCGGUCCCACGCCCCCGAGCUCACCGCCGGGUACUACAACACCCGGUUCCGCGAUGGGUACGCCCCCAUCGCCCAAAUGCUCGGGCGACACGGGGCGAUAUUCAACUUCACGUGUGUCGAGAUGAAGGACUGGGAGCAGCCGGGGGAGGCGAUGUGCCGACCGGAGGGGCUGGUGAAGCAGGUGGCGGCAGCCGCGAGGGAGGCGGGGGUGGCACUGGCGGGGGAGAAUGCGCUGCCGAGGUUUGAUGAGACGGCGCAUGAGCAGAUUGUGAGGACGGCGGCGGGGGAGGCGGAGGUGAUGAUGUGUGGGUUUACGUAUUUGCGGAUGACGCCGGAUUUGUUCCAGCCGGAGAAUUGGAGGAGGUUUGUUGCGUUCG
This 1151-nucleotide unclassified non-coding RNA is filed under the name Hevea brasiliensis (rubber tree). Lineage: Eukaryota; Viridiplantae; Streptophyta; Magnoliopsida; Malpighiales; Euphorbiaceae. The record is from RNAcentral.